AUUGAACGCUGGCGGCAGGCCUAACACAUGCAAGUCGAGCGGAUGAAGGGAGCUUGCUCCUGGAUUCAGCGGCGGACGGGUGAGUAAUGCCUAGGAAUCUGCCUGGUAGUGGGGGAUAACGUCCGGAAACGGGCGCUAAUACCGCAUACGUCCUGAGGGAGAAAGUGAGGGAUCUUCGGACCUCACGCUAUCAGAUGAGCCUAGGUCGGAUAGCUAGUUGGUGGGGUAAAGGCCUACCAAGGCGACGAUCCGUAACUGGUCUGAGAGGAUGAUCAGUCACACUGGAACUGAGACACGGUCCAGACUCCUACGGGAGGCAGCAGUGGGGAAUAUUGGACAAUGGGCGAAAGCCUGAUCCAGCCAUGCCGCGUGUGUGAAGAAGGUCUUCGGAUUGUAAAGCACUUUAAGUUGGGAGGAAGGGCAGUAAGUUAAUACCUUGCUGUUUUGACGUUACCAACAGAAUAAGCACCGGCUAACUUCGUG
This 483-nucleotide ribosomal RNA is filed under the name uncultured bacterium. RNAcentral's name for it is "partial 16S ribosomal RNA". It matches the Rfam family "Bacterial small subunit ribosomal RNA", at positions 30 to 507 of the family's 1533-position model. The record is from RNAcentral.